RNAcentral lists this ribosomal RNA (513 nucleotides) under uncultured bacterium. RNAcentral describes it as "bacterial SSU rRNA". It matches the Rfam family "Bacterial small subunit ribosomal RNA", at positions 106 to 609 of the family's 1533-position model. The record is from RNAcentral.
GAGAGUAACGCGUAGUUAUCUACCCCGCCGGUCCGGAAUAGCUGUGGGAAACCGCAGGUAAUACCGGAUAACAUCUGUUUCCUUCAAAAGAAGUGGAUCAAAGGUGUGAUUCCGCCCUGGGAGGAGACUGCGUUGUACUAGCUUGUUGGUAGGGUAAUGGCCUACCAAGGCGAUGAUGCAUAGCGGGCGUGAGAGCGUGGCCCGUCUCACUGGGACUGAGACACUGCCCAGACACCUACGGGUGGCUGCAGUCGAGAAUCUUCGGCAAUGGGCGAAAGCCUGACCGAGCAAUGCCGCGUGCGGGAUGAAGGCCCUCGGGUUGUAAACCGCUGUCAGUUGGGAGGAAAUCACUUGGGGCUAUCCCCUCGUGUUGACCUAUCUUCAGAGGAAGGACGGGCUAAGUUCGUGCCAGCAACCCGCGGUAACACGAACCGUCCAAACGUUAUUCGGAAUUAUUGGGCUUAAAAGGGUGCGUAGGCGGCGCGGUAAGUGAGGUGUGAAAAUCCCUCGGCU